CGCAGGGCAGUAAAAUAUGAAUAUCAGCAGAGAUAAUGGGAUGCAGACACUCCAUCAUGACGGGUUUGGAGCAGAUAAGGGACGCAGAGUGCGAGAGAGAGUGUGUGUUAUUCUGCUGACUCAGCGGUGAGGUAAAGACUGCAAAUCACAGGACUGACGGGAAGAUAAAAACAUUACAUAAGAAGGAUGCUGACCGGCUCUGACUUCUGGGUGCUUUGAGGCAUCUCCCUCACCUUCUCAGCGAUGAAGUCGUGGACGCCGUUCAGCGCCUCCACCGUGCCCUGGAUCAGACACACGCGCUCUGUCGUUCCUGCGGACAAAAACAGGUCGGUGCAUGAGUUUCAAGUACUCGGCGGGGACACAUCGUUGAAGUUCAUCGCACUUCCAAAUCGCGUUUCCUGCAUUUUCCAAAAUGUUUCCACAGGCGGGCACAGACUCCCGUUUGACUCUGAAAACUAAGGAUCUUCUGUUUUGAUCGUUUUUUCAAAAAUGUGCAGUUGAAUGUGAAUGAAACUACUUCUCAACAAAUAACAACGGUGAGACAAGAAAAGACACAAGGAAAGUGUAAUGACUGCCGCUAGGAACUCCACCGCUGCAGCAGCCAAUCGUAACAGCAAGGAGAAGAAAUAACUCAAACUGAGCCGGAAAACGAGAAAACGGAACACACCGCGGGGGUUCUCAGCCUUCUGUAACUCAGGGCCCACUGAAGAUUGUUACAAAAAAUAACUUCCAAAGACCACAUUCACUAAUGAAUAAGAAAAAAAAACACAACGGGACAUUUCAAGAAAUAUUUCCAUCCAUUUUGUGUCACUGCGUCCGAGGGAAUGAGCAAAAACCAUGUUCGUCCAUAUUGUAUAUCAUACAGUAUUGGCUAGAAAACUAUUCAGAAACGUUUGUGCAUUCACAUUUCCACCUCUGAACACAUCAGAAACAUUCAGUUCAUGUUUCCAGGACGCCAUCCAACCAGGAAACACAUUCUGGUCCAAACAAACGGGCGGAAGUCUACUACACAAAUCAAAGGGAAUUAUCGGAAACAUAAAACCUAAGUAGCUAGUUUAUGAUUCUGCGUGCAGCAUCAUACUGUUUCCUGAUUUCUCCCUUUUACCCAGGAAAGUGUUGCCAGCGUGUUGACAACGUCGGAGACUGGAGAUGGAAUUAAUGUUCUUGUAGGAAGUCAGACAUUUUUUAACACUGCAGUCUGUAGUAGCACAACACAUUUAUUUUCUUUAUUUUAAUUAUUGUAGAUAUUGUAGAUAUUACUUGAUUUAAUCAAGGUCAUUUCACUGAUUUUAAUAUGUUAGUGAAUCCUACUUAUCUUUUUUAAUUAAUCUUAACUCAUACUUCCAUGGUUUACGAAAAGCUCAUUUCCUUCAUUUAAAGGUAACAUGAAAAAAGUAUGUACAUUUUAAUUCCCACAUUCAAUUUCCACAUCUGCGCAUGUGCGUCCACAAGCCCCGCCCCCUUUCCCUCCUCUAGGCGCGAAUAUCUUUCCCUUUGAAAGCUGUGCUGUAUCUCCUGCUGUUCCCAAAGCGCUCCGUUUUCAGUAAGUAUACAUUUUAAAUUCAUUGCUGUGUUGUAUUUUUACUUCAACAGGAUUUAGUUGCCACCAAAAAAAGUAGUUAGCUAACGUUAAGGCUGUCUGCUGUGUCUUAUCUAAUGAGGCCUACUGUUGCUAACGUUAGCUCAAUGUUGCCUACCAUUAAGGCUAGGUUAACAUUAGUAUAAUAAUUUAGGUGAAAAUAAUUAUCUAACUGGAUACUGCUAUCAAGAUAAAUGCGGGAUGCACCACAUGCUUUUCUUGUUUGACUUUCUCGUAAGUUUGUGGCCACUAAAAGUCUAACCUAACCAAUGUAAAUUGACUAGCCAGCUGUUAGCUACCUAAUGUUAAUGUACUUUAGCUAACGUCAAUAGCUUGUAGCUGAACCUUCCUCAGCUUAACGUUUGACGUUAUGGACCGACUUUAAGUAUAUAUUUUUAACUUAAACUUAUCAGUGCGGUGAUAUUAGGGGGGACACAAUCUAAAGUUAAACAUUGUUUGCUACUCUGGCCAAAUGGGUCAAUGUUACGGAAGCCAUUGUUAACGUUACCCCCUCGUGUUAAAGGUAAACAGAACAGGGUCCUAACGUUAUGGUAAGGAGGCCAAGCUGUUGCCUGAGUUGUCAUUCUUGCAAAACGAAACAACACGGAGUCCCGCGUCGAUCUGCUCAACUCUUUUCGGUGCCAGUAUCUUUUUCACUUUGUGGUAGCUUUUCCUCGGUUAUACACUAAUGAGCUAGCGUUAGCUUAAACAUGCAAAGGUAGCUCUGAAAGCACGGAGGAAAUGAAAAAUGUAAGCUGCAGCUGUUCUGUAGACGACAAGCAUGGUUGAUAUAUGACCACAGUCCGAAAUUAACUAACUAAGGUAGCUUACCCACAGUAUUUUGUCUGGUAAUAAUUCAGAAUUGACACUAAUCAUCAAAAUAUAUUUAUUUUAUUUAUUUUCUAUUCCAAGACAUUGUACAGGGGGUUAUACUUCACCUAUUUUGCAAAUAAUGAUGAUUGAUUUAAGAAACCUUUCUGCCUUUUGUUGGUCAUUUCUAUAGUAAUAAUGAGACUUUAUUUAAAUAUAAAAUAAGUUUUUUGGGAUCUGAUUUGAGUUGUUAUCUUAACCCAAAUUACUUAGGAUUAUUGAACAAUUACCUCUUUUUCUUAAAACAAAUUUACAAUUCGUGAAUAUUUUUUCGGAUAUCUGAUGUUGGUGUGACGUGGAAUAGGGCCUCACUCCUUGGGGACCUCAUAUUGUUUUGGUAAGUACAUUUAACAAACAACAUUUUCACAGGUAUGCUGAUCCCAGCAGUACUUCUCAGGAUUCUGUAACGGUGUGGUAUUGUGUGAUACCAAUGGCCUAACUCUUUGUAUUCUGUCGUUUUGUUUUUUUAAUAGAAGAUACAUGCUGACUUCCAACGCAUUACAACCAUCCCACUGGAAUCUACCUUCAUGGCACAGUUGGAGAGCCAUUUUGCCCAACUGACGGCUAUCUUCCAGAAGAAGGGUGGAGUUGCUGGCCAGAAGCUAGCUAAAUAUCUAAAGAUCUUGCAAGAGGAGACAACCUUAAAUCCUUAUGCUGCGUUCACACCAAAAGCGGUGCAAAUCUUUUGUGCGAGUAGAUCUCAUGCAAAGUCAAUGCACAGAUGUGAUUUUUUUGGCCGGGCGGCGCAAAAAAUCCGCCAGAGUUGAAAUAUUUCAAUUUGCGAAUAUUUGCAACGCUUUUGGUGUGAACGCAGCAUAAAGGCUCUUUGCAUCCACCUGGGUGAGGAUGAGGGGCAGCUCGGAUGAGGAUGAGAAACAGCUUGGAUGAGGAACAGCUCGUUCGGGAGUAUAUGGAUCAAAGGAGACGACAUCCUGAGAGACCUGCAAAAGUGGAGCUUGCACAUAUGUCAUCAACAAGGAGGAGAAAUGGGACAUUGAUGACGUUUACGGACUAAUCAUUCUCCACAACUGGAUCUGUGGCCCGAGCUUGUGCAAAGAUUCUGGGAGUCAUCUACGCUCUGAACAUGGCCAAAGAGCUAAGAUACUACUAUGAAUUCAUUCAGAAAGUGCUCUUUCUAAUGCAUGGUGAAAAUCUUUCCCCCCAAAUCCUCGGACUAAAGAACAAAGAACAACAUGUAUGCUGGACUCUAGGAAAUCUUCAGCUGCUCUUGUAAACUGAUGCUAUUAAAGGAUGGCAAAAGAAGAGUACGAGUCGACGUAAUUAAAAAAGCACCAGUCAAACAUCAAACUGGGGAAACGAUGUGGCACACUGAAAAUAUGAUGUUUGUUUAAUUUAUUCAGUUUAUUUUAUAUAGCCCAAUAUCACAAAUUACGAAUUUGCCUCAGAGGGCUUUACAAUCUGAACACAACAUUUAGUUGGAAUUACUUAAUACAUUUGAGUAAACUGAACAUGGGUUUAGUUGGGAUUACUUAAUAAAUUUGAGUUAACUCUACUCAAAAUAGUUGAGCAAAAAUUCUAAA
Long non-coding RNA from Cyclopterus lumpus (lumpfish), 3990 nucleotides. RefSeq lists it as uncharacterized. The record is from RefSeq and is a predicted model, not a curated record. The transcript is spliced from 4 exons. NCBI's taxonomy places the organism in Eukaryota, Metazoa, Chordata, Actinopteri, Perciformes, Cyclopteridae.